Molecule: non-coding RNA, 169 nt
Filed under: Ktedonobacter sp.
Lineage: Bacteria; Bacillati; Chloroflexota; Ktedonobacteria; Ktedonobacterales; Ktedonobacteraceae
Description: GlcN6P sequence
Rfam family: glmS glucosamine-6-phosphate activated ribozyme aptamer
About the family: This entry contains a glucosamine-6-phosphate activated ribozyme that is found in the mRNA for GlmS. GlmS is an enzyme that uses fructose-6-phosphate and glutamine to generate glucosamine-6-phosphate. The ribozyme catalyses self cleavage of the glmS mRNA that is thought to regulate GlmS activity.
Source: RNAcentral
UUCUGUCUAGUAGCGCAUGGGCCGGGCCAUUAGGAGGAGGCACGGUUGACGAGGUGGAGGCUGUUCGGAUCAAGUCAGCGGGGAGCCUCCAGGGUAUGUCACUACCCUGAGAAGAUAACGGACAAAUCCAGGUGGUAACACCUGGCACAAAACGUUAUCGGUGAUGCUG